Molecule: ribosomal RNA, 420 nt
Filed under: Fusobacteriota bacterium
Lineage: Bacteria; Fusobacteriati; Fusobacteriota
Description: Fusobacteria bacterium partial 16S ribosomal RNA
Rfam family: Bacterial small subunit ribosomal RNA
Source: RNAcentral
UGGGGGAUAUUGCACAAUGGGCGAAAGCCUGAUGCAGCGACGCCGCGUGUGGGAUGAAGGCCUUCGGGUUGUAAACUUCUUUUGCCCUGAACCAGGCAUGCCUUUGGGGUGUGUUGAGUGUAGGGGUUGAUUAGCGCCGGCUAACUACGUGCCAGCAGCCGCGGUAAUACGUAGGGCGCGAGCGUUGUCCGGAAUUAUUGGGCGUAAAGGGCUUGUAGGUGGCUGGUUGCGUCUGUCGUGAAAGCUCAUGGCUUAACUGUGGGUUUGCGGUGGGUACGGGCUGGCUUGAGUGCAGUAGGGGAGGCUGGAAUUCCUGGUGUAGCGGUGGAAUGCGCAAAUAUCAGGAGGAAUACCGGUGGCGAAGGCGGGUCUCUGGGCUGUUACUGACGCUGAGGAGCGAAAGCGUGGGGAGCGAACAGG